This is a ribosomal RNA of 1717 nucleotides. The stretch from base 95 to 1612 matches the Rfam family "Bacterial large subunit ribosomal RNA".
CGCCAAACAGCUAGCUCAACCGUCCUCUAACAAACCACUUUAAACUACCACCAAAAAUACCUCCACCCUUUAAACAAACCAUUUUUCCCCCAAAGUACGGGAGACGAAACAGGAACUACGAAGCAAUAGAGAAAGUACCGUAAGGGAAAGCUGAAAGAGAAAGUGAAACAACUCAGUCAAGCACUUAGAAGCAGAGACCAGACCUCGUACCUUUUGCAUCAUGAUUUAGCAAGAAAUAAUUAAGCAAAAAGUAUUUUAGUUUAAACCCCCGAAACUAGGGGAGCUACUCCAAGACAGCCUAACACAUAGGGCAACCCCGUCUCUGUGGCAAAAGAGUGGGAAGAACUUCGAGUAGAGGUGACAGACCUACCGAACCUAGUUAUAGCUGGUUGCCUGAGAACUGAAUAGAAGUUCAACCCUCAAUACUCUUCCCCCUCACACCUGAGAACCCAUUCUCAAUACACAAGCAUAUAAAGAAUUUGAGGAGAAAGUCAAAGGAGGAACAGCUCCUUUGAAUUAAGAUACAACUUUUCAAGCAGGGUACAGAUCAUAGACCUAAACAGGACCCAUGCCCCCGUGGGCCUAAAAGCAGCCACCAAAAUAGAACGAAAGCGUUAAAGCUCAGGCAUGAGACACCCCACAAUCCCGACAACACAAUCUGAACCCGCCACACCUAUCAGGCCACCCCAUUCCCUCAAACUAUGGGAGCGAUUAUGCUAAUAUGAGUAAUAAGAGGGCCGAGGCUCUCUCCCCUGCACCCGUAUAAGUCGGAACGAACCCCCACCGAAAAUUAACGGCCCCAAACAAAGAGGGUAAUGGAUUCUAAAACCUAUCACAAGAAAAGCAUUCACUUAUCUAACCGUUAACCCCACACUGGUGUGCAUCUAACUGAAAGACAAAAAGAAAAAGAAGGAACUCGGCAAACACAAGCCUCGCCUGUUUACCAAAAACAUCGCCUCUUGCUAACCACCCAUAAGAGGUCCCGCCUGCCCCGUGACUACACGUUUAACGGCCGCGGUAUCCUAACCGUGCAAAGGUAGCGCAAUCACUUGUCUUUUAAAUGAAGACCCGUAUGAAUGGCACCACGAGGGCUUAACUGUCUCCUUUAUCCUGUCAAUGAAAUUGAUCUCCCCGUGCAGAAGCGGGGAUAAACACAUAAGACGAGAAGACCCUGUGGAACUUCAGGCUUUUAGCAGACUAUGUAAAACAACCAAUAAAAACUUGAACAGAACUAAUUAGCCCCUGCUCACACAUGCCUUCGGUUGGGGCGACCAUGGGAAAACAAAAACCCCCCACGUGGACCAGGAGCACAUAUUAAUCCCUCCCCUCCUGCAACCCAGGGCUACAGCCCUAAGUAACACAACCUUUGACCUACCUGAUCCGGCACAGACCGAUCAACGAACCCAGCUACCCCAGGGAUAACAGCGCAAUCCCCUCCCAGAGCCCAUAUCGACGAGAGGGUUUACGACCUCGAUGUUGGAUCAGGACAUCCUAUUGGUGCAGCCGCUAUUAAGGGUUCGUUUGUUCAACGAUUAAAGUCCUACGUGAUCUGAGUUCAGACCGGAGCAAUCCAGGUCAGUUUCUACCUAUGCCAUGCUCUUUUCCAGUACGAAAGGACCAAAAAGAGGGGGUCCAUGCCCCAACACACCCCACCCCAAUUUAAUGAAAACAACUAAAAUAGAUAAAAGGACAUUCAUCCCAGCUCAAGAGAAUAGCU